This 550-nucleotide ribosomal RNA is filed under the name uncultured bacterium. Its description in RNAcentral is "bacterial SSU rRNA". It matches the Rfam family "Bacterial small subunit ribosomal RNA", at positions 355 to 896 of the family's 1533-position model. The record is from RNAcentral.
UAGGGAAUCUUCGGCAAUGGACGGAAGUCUGACCGAGCAACGCCGCGUGAGUGAAGAAGGUUUUCGGAUCGUAAAGCUCUGUUGUAAGAGAAGAACGAGUGUGAGAGUGGAAAGUUCACACUGUGACGGUAUCUUACCAGAAAGGGACGGCUAACUACGUGCCAGCAGCCGCGGUAAUACGUAGGUCCCGAGCGUUGUCCGGAUUUAUUGGGCGUAAAGCGAGCGCAGGCGGUUAGAUAAGUCUGAAGUUAAAGGCUGUGGCUUAACCAUAGUACGCUUUGGAAACUGUUUAACUUGAGUGCAAGAGGGGAGAGUGGAAUUCCAUGUGUAGCGGUGAAAUGCGUAGAUAUAUGGAGGAACACCGGUGGCGAAAGCGGCUCUCUGGCUUGUAACUGACGCUGAGGCUCGAAAGCGUGGGGAGCAAACAGGAUUAGAUACCCUGGUAGUCCACGCCGUAAACGAUGAGUGCUAGGUGUUAGACCCUUUCCGGGGUUUAGUGCCGUAGCUAACGCAUUAAGCACUCCGCCUGGGGAGUACGGCCGCAAGGCUA